UACGUAGGGUGCGAGCGUUAAUCGGAAUUACUGGGCGUAAAGCGUGCGCAGGCGGUGAUGUAAGACCGAUGUGAAAUCCCCGGGCUUAACCUGGGAACUGCAUUGGUGACUGCAUCGCUCGAGUAUGGCAGAGGGGGGUAGAAUUCCACGUGUAGUAGUGAAAUGCGUAGAGAUGUGGAGGAAUACCGAUGGCGAAGGCAGCCCCCUGGGUCAAUACUGACGCUCAUGCACGAAAGCGUGGGGAGCAAACAGG
Molecule: ribosomal RNA, 253 nt
Filed under: uncultured bacterium
Lineage: Bacteria
Description: partial 16S ribosomal RNA
Rfam family: Bacterial small subunit ribosomal RNA
Source: RNAcentral